RNAcentral lists this ribosomal RNA (254 nucleotides) under uncultured bacterium. RNAcentral describes it as "partial 16S ribosomal RNA". It matches the Rfam family "Bacterial small subunit ribosomal RNA", at positions 524 to 776 of the family's 1533-position model. The record is from RNAcentral.
CACGUAGGGGGCAAGCGUUGUCCGGAUUUAUUGGGCGUAAAGAGCUCGUAGGCGGUUCGCUAAGUCGGGUGUGAAACCUCCAGGCUCAACCUGGAGACGCCACCUGAUACUGGUGUGACUCGAGUCCGGUAGGGGAGCGUGGAAUUCCUGGUGUAGCGGUGAAAUGCGCAGAUAUCAGGAGGAACACCGGUGGCGAAGGCGGGUCUCUGGGCCACUACUGACGCUGAGGAGCGAAAGCGUGGGGAGCGAACAGG